UGACGGUGGAUGUGGAUUCUGUGUUCAGUGGCGAACGGGUGAGUAACGCGUGGGUAACCUGCCUCAUAGAGGGGGACAACAGUUGGAAACGACUGCUAAUACCGCAUAGUAAGAAAGAUUCGCAUGUUUCUUUCUUGAAAGAUUUAUCGCUAUGAGAUGGACCCGCGUCUGAUUAGCUAGUUGGUAAGGUAACGGCUUACCAAGGCGACGAUCAGUAGCCGGCUUGAGAGAGUGAACGGCCACAUUGGGACUGAGACACGGCCCAAACUCC
This 271-nucleotide ribosomal RNA is filed under the name uncultured Bacillota bacterium. RNAcentral describes it as "uncultured Firmicutes bacterium partial 16S ribosomal RNA". It matches the Rfam family "Bacterial small subunit ribosomal RNA", at positions 68 to 339 of the family's 1533-position model. The record is from RNAcentral. Lineage: Bacteria; Bacillati; Bacillota.